Molecule: ribosomal RNA, 462 nt
Filed under: Lineidae sp. Pili_CB046_CB046_18_05
Lineage: Eukaryota; Metazoa; Nemertea; Pilidiophora; Heteronemertea; Lineidae
Description: partial 16S ribosomal RNA
Rfam family: Bacterial large subunit ribosomal RNA
Source: RNAcentral
UAAAUAUUUUCUGCCCGGUGAAUUUUAAACGGCCGCGGUACUCUGACCGUGCAAAGGUAGCAUAAUCAUUUGCCUCUUGAUUGGGGGCUAGAAUGAAUGGAAGUAUCGAGACUUUCGCUGUCUCUUUUUUUGUUUUGGAAAUUGCUGUUUUUGUGAAGAAGCAUUGGUUUGGGAGAAAGACAAGAAGACCCUAUUAAACUUAAUUAUUUUGUUUUAAGUAUUAUAAACAUUGUUUAAGCACAAAAUAAUUUGGUUGGGGUGAUGAAAAAAGAGUGAAAAUCUUUUUUUUUUUUAGAGAACAUAAUGGUUUAAGGAGGUUAAUGAGGUGUUUAGAAAAAAUGAAAAGUUACUAUAGGGAUAACAGCGUAAUUUUUUCUGAGAGUUCUUAUCGAAGAAAGAGAUUGCGACCUCGAUGUUGACUUGUUGUUUCCUGUUGGUGCAGAAGCUUUAAGGGUUAGUCUG